Corythoichthys intestinalis (scribbled pipefish) is the source of this 873-nucleotide long non-coding RNA. RefSeq lists it as uncharacterized. The record is from RefSeq and is a predicted model, not a curated record. Lineage: Eukaryota; Metazoa; Chordata; Actinopteri; Syngnathiformes; Syngnathidae. The transcript has 4 exons.
GUGCAAUUAACAUCGUGUGACGUAAUGUCUUUAUACAGCAAGGACUCGAAAUACAUUGGAGAGAUUGAUCAAAUUUGGGAUACUUUUGAGCAAACCCGGUAGAAACUUGUAUGUCUGUGCCUUGAACUUCAGCAGAGUUGAUCCUCGACAUCCCGCUGUAUGGCCGCUGUGCAUGCUUGUUUUGCUACUAGGGGCGAGGUUCCCGGAUAAACACUGGUGACAUCUGCUGCCAUGGCAACACCAUUGUGUUCCCUCCUCCAAACCUCCCCCGUCCAUCGGCCACCUCCCUCCGCGUUCACCCCCCUCUACUCCACCUUCUGCUUGUGCGCUUUGUCCACGCCGUCUUUGCUGACUAACCGGACUUAAAACCGGUAGGUGGUCUCAGAAAUGAGUGAGGACUACCACUACAGACUGGACCCCAGUGAUCGCCUCAAUGGUUUGGGACAGAGGAGAAAGAGACCUAAGAAGGUGCCUCGGUGAGUAGUAGUAGGAGGCGCCUCUCGCAAAUGGCAGGGUGGGUCCUGAUUUCCUCUUUGUGUUGCCUGGUUCCAGAUUUCAUCCGUAUCACACUUAAGAGAUGCUUUGAGAGUGGGGGGGGGGGGAUUCAUAUAUUUUUAUUGAAAUCUGAUGUCGUACUAAACAACAAUUCAACACAUUUUAGUGUGGUUAGAGAAGAAAGAUGAUGUGAAAAUCAAGGGGUUUUGUAAGGGUUUCCGUGUAUAAAUGAUUGAACUGUUAUUUUGAGGUUGGAAUUGCUUUUCAAAGUGGAGGGUGGAAUGCUCUUUAUCAUCAUUCAAGUUAGAUUUAUAGAAAGUGGCUAUGUAUAUGUUCUUAAAUUUGUGAUGAUUAUUAGUGUUUCUGUUGUGAUUAAAG